UGCAAGGGUCAGCAUGGGGUAGGGAACAGCUUUGUUUAAAGACUCUGAACUCCUUUGGCAGGUGGCAGCUGGUCAGCAUGGGGUAGGGAACAGCUUUGUUUAGAGACUCUGAGCUCCUUUGGCAGGUGGCAGCCCUUUCUCUAUGUGGCACAAAGAGUUUGAAAUUAUGUUCAAGUCAGAAAUUGCAGCAUGCCUCUGACACUUUUGAGGCCGGUUUUCUUUCUUCUAAUAAUUUUCAAGUAUUUCUCUGUAGAAGCUGGAGCCCUGCUGAGGUGCACUGGCUCAGCCCUGCAUUUCUCCCGUUUAUGGAACCCCACACACAGGCAGUAAAUGCCUCCACUCACUGGCCCUUGCCAUCACUGGAUGCCUUUGCAGAGGUCCAAUCCUUGCUUCUGGCCUGGCAGCCUUUGCUAAAUCACAGCGUUUCACAUCCUGCCCCUCAGGCAUCACAUACUCCCUGCAAACAAGCACUUUCAGUUCUUGCAUGGAAGCUCCUUAACUCUGACUCUGCUGGAAAACUCAGCAAGAUGGGGAGGACUGCAUUAAAACAAGUGUGUUCCAGGCAGCUGUCAACUGCUGAACAUUUGAACAACCAGGGCCUCCCAAAGGGAAAUAACAUCUUCGGAAUGGCCAGGCUCAAGAAAACACCACAUCUUAAAUGAUGUAUUGAUGGGGGAAAAUAAAUUCAGAAGAGAAUUUGGUGCUUUGCCGAGCAAUGUCCUGAAGAUAAGCUUGUACCAGUUCUUCAGUCACGCACUAAUGAUCUUCAGUUCAUAAUAUGUUAUAAAUCACUCUGAUGGAUACAGAAAAGGGUAAUAAAUGAAUAAAUAAAUAGCAAACACUCGGUGGAUAGUGCUGAUCAUAGAAAGAUGAAUUAAUCAUAAACACUGCUUCCAAAGGCUGUGACACGAAUGAGCAUUCCUUUGAUAUCAGCCAUGCUCUUCUUCCCACCAACUUGUUCUCAAAUAAACAUCCCAGUAAAUAUUUGUCUCCUUGCUCUAGCAUUGCAAAUACAAUGAGAAAGGCCACAUCCUCUCCUAGCCCGUGGAUAGGAAUUCCCUUAGGGUGAUGCUGGAUUGCAGGUUGGGAUUCACCUCAGCUCACUUCAGUCAGAUUCUAGCUCAUCAUCUCAGUCUAGAGCAGGAUCUCUGGGCUCCCUUCAGAGCUGCCCUUCUUAUUUGCCACUCUCCCAGUACUUGCAAUCUCUUCUAUCUCUUUUAAUCUCUUUCAUGGCUUCACUGUCUGAUGUCCCACCCUGGUGCUCUCUUCCCUAGAAAGUGCCCCAGGAAUUCUGCUGCCUCACUGCAGCACAGCCUGCACUGGGGGCCUCUCAGGUCAGCGAUUUCCACCCUGCUGGUGGCAGCACAGUCACC
RNAcentral lists this long non-coding RNA (1373 nucleotides) under Ficedula albicollis (Collared flycatcher). RNAcentral's name for it is "lncRNA (ENSFALG00000025001.1)". The record is from RNAcentral. Lineage: Eukaryota; Metazoa; Chordata; Aves; Passeriformes; Muscicapidae.